Molecule: ribosomal RNA, 465 nt
Filed under: uncultured Klebsiella sp.
Lineage: Bacteria; Pseudomonadati; Pseudomonadota; Gammaproteobacteria; Enterobacterales; Enterobacteriaceae
Description: bacterial SSU rRNA
Rfam family: Bacterial small subunit ribosomal RNA
Source: RNAcentral
CCUACGGGAGGCUGCAGUGGGGAAUAUUGCACAAUGGGCGCAAGCCUGAUGCAGCCAUGCCGCGUGUGUGAAGAAGGCCUUCGGGUUGUAAAGCACUUUCAGCGGGGAGGAAGGCGUUAAGGUUAAUAACCUUGUCGAUUGACGUUACCCGCAGAAGAAGCACCGGCUAACUCCGUGCCAGCAGCCGCGGUAAUACGGAGGGUGCAAGCGUUAAUCGGAAUUACUGGGCGUAAAGCGCACGCAGGCGGUCUGUCAAGUCGGAUGUGAAAUCCCCGGGCUCAACCUGGGAACUGCAUUCGAAACUGGCAGGCUAGAGUCUUGUAGAGGGGGGUAGAAUUCCAGGUGUAGCGGUGAAAUGCGUAGAGAUCUGGAGGAACACCGGUGGCGAAGGCGGCCCCCUGGACAAAGACUGACGCUCAGGUGCGAAAGCGUGGGGAGCAAACAGGAUUAGAUAUCCGUGUAGUC